Molecule: ribosomal RNA, 425 nt
Filed under: uncultured bacterium
Lineage: Bacteria
Description: partial 16S ribosomal RNA
Rfam family: Bacterial small subunit ribosomal RNA
Source: RNAcentral
GUGGGGAAUCUUGCGCAAUGGGCGAAAGCCUGACGCAGCCAUGCCGCGUGAAUGAUGAAGGUCUUAGGAUUGUAAAAUUCUUUCACCGGGGACGAUAAUGACGGUACCCGGAGAAGAAGCUCCGGCUAACUUCGUGCCAGCAGCCGCGGUAAUACGCAGGGGGCUAGCGUUGCUCGGAAUUACUGGGCGUAAAGGGCGCGUAGGCGGACAGCUUAGUCAGAGGUGAAAGCCCAGGGCUCAACCUUGGAAUUGCCUUUGAUACUGGCUGUCUUGAGUUUGGGAGAGGUGAGUGGAACUCCGAGUGUAGAGGUGAAAUUCGUAGAUAUUCGGAAGAACACCAGUGGCGAAGGCGACUCACUGGCCCAAUACUGACGCUGAGGCGCGAAAGCGUGGGGAGCAAACAGGAUUAGAAACCCUGGUAGUCC